GCAAGUCGCGCGCGAAAACCUUCGGGUGAGUAAAGCGGCGAAAGGGUGAGUAACACGUAAUCAACCUACCCUCCAGAUUGGGAUAACCGCGGGAAGCUGCGGGUAAAACCGAAUGGUCUUUUCGGGAGGCAUCUCCUGGAAAGUAAAUGGCGGCUUCGGUCGCCGCUGGGGGAGGGGGUUGCGGCCUAUCAGCUUGUUGGUGAGGUAAUGGCUCACCAAGGCGAUGACGGGUAGCCGGUCUGAGAGGAUGGUC
Molecule: ribosomal RNA, 253 nt
Filed under: uncultured bacterium
Lineage: Bacteria
Description: partial 16S ribosomal RNA
Rfam family: Bacterial small subunit ribosomal RNA
Source: RNAcentral